AACAGGAUUGCUGGUUUGUAUGGUAAAUGUGUAUUGAACUUUAUAAGAAACUGUCAAAGUAAUUUUCAAAGUAGCUGGACCAUUUUACAAUUCUAGUAGCAAU
Molecule: microRNA precursor, 103 nt
Filed under: Marmota monax (woodchuck)
Lineage: Eukaryota; Metazoa; Chordata; Mammalia; Rodentia; Sciuridae
Source: RNAcentral